Molecule: long non-coding RNA, 588 nt
Organism: Pristis pectinata (smalltooth sawfish)
Lineage: Eukaryota; Metazoa; Chordata; Chondrichthyes; Rhinopristiformes; Pristidae
Exons: 2
Source: RefSeq, a predicted model, not a curated record
CUCCCUCCCUCUAUCUCUCCCUCCCUCUCUCUCUCCCUCCCUCUCUCUCUCCCUCCCUCUCUCUCUCCCUCCCUCUCUCUGUCUCUCUUUCUUUUGAUCCCAUUCUAUUUGAUUCUGGUUCCCACUGAUUCUCUUCGGUUUUCCUGGUGGGAAUGGGCCAUCCCAGGAACACUGAUCCACCCAUCAGCCUCCAGAAUAGACCCAACAUAGUGGCAAAGCCGACUGAUGUGGGGCAUCACUCCCUAACAAAGCCCACACCCUCCACUGACCCAGGACAGGGACCACACACACUGACCCAAGACAGGACAGGGACCACACCCUCCACUGACCCAGGACUGGACAGGUACUGCACAUACUGACCCAGGACAGGACAGGUACCACACACACCUUCCACUGACCCUGGCAGACAGGCAUGGUGUAACCACAUCACAUAACCACUAACAGAGCCAACAAUGGCCACAAACCACCUUUACGGUUCUGACAGAUAUCAAGUGAAAACAUUCGAACAGUCAGUUCUGUGGGUGAAUUUGUCAACCUACCUGUAAUCAUAAAAUUGAUGAAAGUAUCAGGAGAACGAACACUCUGUAA